This 2927-nucleotide long non-coding RNA is filed under the name Gallus gallus (chicken). RNAcentral describes it as "lncRNA (ENSGALG00010006278.1)". Lineage: Eukaryota; Metazoa; Chordata; Aves; Galliformes; Phasianidae. The record is from RNAcentral.
ACAGUGGAAGUUUUGCUGCCCUGAUCCCUGCCUGGAAGUUCAGGGACGUGAGAAGCAUGGGAAGACUGACUGGCAGUGAAGAUUAAGGCAAAGAACCCAAUGACAUUUUCCCUGACUGUAUUAUCAUCAUUCAACAACUCCAUUGGGUCAACAAGAAAGGUACAGAUAAUGCACAGCAAGAAGUCCAAAAGAAAGAAGAUUAAACUGUAAUGUAAUGCGAUAAAAGAAGAAGAGAAAAAAAAAGCUGCAUGUAGCAAAGGCAUUCAUCCCUUGGUUACUGUCACAGUUCUGUUUUGGUCACAAGUUCUGCGCUUCCAGCUCUCUCCUCUUCCCCCCAAAAGAAAAAAAGGAAAUAGAAAAAAAGAGGUGAAACAACAACCGAACACAAAAACAAACAAAUACUCCGUAGCUCAGGAUCAAAUAAGAAAUAACAGGAAAAUAAAAUCCACAGAUAUUUACAAAUGUUAUUUUAUAAUUAAAUACAAAAAUACUUGGCUAUUACCAUUUGCUGAGGCCCAGCAUUUAAUAGCACUGUAAUCUUUCCUAUUAUGCAAUGAAUUUGACAUAAUGAAGAGACAGAAUAGGAUGUAUUAAAAAAAAAAAAAAAAAAAAAAAUCCUGAAUUUCACUUAAGGACAAAACUUUUGUAUAGCAACCAGUAGAAUAAAGUAUAUUCAGGGAUCUAUAAUGAGCCAUUUCUUCUCCACUAAGGGAUGAUCACUAAGGUUUUCAUUUUGUGUAGCUGAAAAAUGAACUGGGGUUGAUUAUACAUCUGAUGAUUUUGUUGGCAAGACACUGAUGUUGUUAUCUUCUUACCUUCAUCAGAUUUGGCUUCUCACAAGGAUUCAUUUGCUCUACAAACUUGUGUGGUUGUAAUCUUAAGUCUGUCCAUGAAAUUGCAACAUUCAUGUAUUCCACAAGGAAUGAAAGAAAAUUGUUAAGAAAAAUAAGACCAAGGAUAAUUUUCCAAUCUUUGAUAAUAUAGAGGUGAUUCCAUAGUUAAGAUGAUGUUGAACACUGAACACUGAACUCCAAGUAGAAUUACAAUGCUUGGGUUUUACAUUCAUUAGUAAGUUUUGCAUUACUACUACUGAAAGUACUGAAUUUUCAGUGUUUUCUUUAAUGGCUUUUUGAAGACUGUCAAACCUAUAGAGACUUAUCAGACAAAAUGUAGAUAUGUGCUAUUUAUUAUUGUAUGGGAGAAAAAAUUACAGAUCACAAUGCAUCUCAUUUUAUAUCAGCUUCCAAACUACAGCAGAUUAAUCCUGCUCAAGGAACGUCUGCCUGUGACUAGGGUAACAAUUUCAUAUUUGCAUAUCUAUGGACUGAAAGUAGCUGUUCGUACAAAGCUUUGAAUAGUUUUUGAGAUAUAUCAGCAUAUUCCCUUUGACAGAGGAUUCCUUUAAAAUUGUGAUAAAUCCAUCAUCCCUUUGUGACUAUGCAAGAGGACAAAAACCUAGCUGAAAUUUCUGUGUUAAUUUUAAAUGUCAUAUAAGGUUCCAUAUUAAAAUUCCUAAUUUAGAUUUUUGCUUAAGAACUCAGUCACAAGGGUCCCCACUGUUCUUCUUACAGAUCUUGCCAAAUCUGUAGAUCAAAUAGAGGCAUCUACUUCUGAACUAGUUAAUCAAAAUUGCUUACAUAAGACUGCCUUCAUGUAGAUGAUAUUUUGGGGAGUGAGGGGUAGGGGUAGCUGAAUCGCAUCCUCUAGACUGAGUAUAAAACAUAAAUGGAAAUAUCCAGAGCUAUGUAAUAUCUUUUGAGUCCAGCUGGCAUCUGAACUCGAUAAAUAAAUCUCUUGUAGGACCUGCUUCAACUCUGUCAGACUUGUCUCAGAUACAUAUUGCAUCUCAGAUGGCAGUGGAUAAAUAUGAUUAAGUAAUUGAAUCACACAGUGUGUAUGCAACUUAUUUAUGGUAAUGCCCAGAUAGUAGAAAUCUGGGAAUACAAAGUUAAUGGAAACAGGAGAUUACCUUACUGAAAUGAAGAGAUUCUUGACUCCAUAGCACAUAUGUGGGAAGACUGAGGGAUUCUCAUUUGUUAAUCAGUCAUAUAGUUGUGUAGAGAGUUGAUAAGAAACACUGACAGAGAAUAUCUGAAUAAUCUCAAAAUUGUUGAUGUCCAGAAACAUCAAAUCAUUCUCUGAAGUUUAUAAUCAAAUCUUCUGAAAUUAUUGUGAUGGAGUAACAGCGGAAAACAAACAAACAAACAAACAAAAACAAACAGAUUUAUUUGGCUUGUGAAAGAACUUGCUAAGAAAGCUGGAGAAUGAGUUUUAGACAUACCUUGUAAUGAAGGAAUUAGAGUAUAUUGUACAUUAUUUCUCUUUCACCAUUUUUUUCACUGCCAUGAGGAAAAAUUUAUUUGUGAUGAUUCUGUUUUCUGUCUUUCAUGAUGAAACUGAAAGGAAAAAAAAUAGGAUUUAUAGAUUCAAAAGGGGGGUGUUAGGGACAGGGGGAGAUUCACUUUAGUUCUGUGAUAAGCCACUUUGCUAAGAGGGGAGGAGGAUCCUGUAUAUAUGUACAUAUCCUAUAUAUAUGUAUCCUGGAUUCUGAUUUAAACUCACACUAUUGUUCAUUUACUUUACAUAUUAUUUUUCCCCCUAACAGGAAUAUGCACAAUUCCACAAAAAUUGAAAAUAUAGGUAAUUCUUUAUCAUCUCACAAGGUUUUAUCUAUGACUACUUUUUUAAUGUAUUCAUUUUAUGAUCUCAUUAAUGAUCUGUUCUUUACCUAAUAAAGAUUUGACUUCAGCAAUAGUGAGGGAAGAAUUAUUAUAGCAUACUUGGAAAUUAUGCCUUGGGUUCCAACUUUGUUCUAAUACUCAAAUGUUCCACAAUUUUGAUUAAUGUCUUGUUACUUAAUUAUUAUACAAAAAGUCAAGAAAAUAAUCUCUGUACAUAUUUUGAAAUAAAGAUCUCUCCAGGCACUG